Molecule: long non-coding RNA, 10506 nt
Organism: Peromyscus californicus insignis
Lineage: Eukaryota; Metazoa; Chordata; Mammalia; Rodentia; Cricetidae
Exons: 14
Source: RefSeq, a predicted model, not a curated record
GCUCCAUAUUCUCCUUCUCAGGCAGUAUGUUGGGGUGGGAGGGAGAAAAGGACUCCUUUGGUUGUCCGUUUGUGCUACUUUAAAAUUGGACAUUCCUGUCUGCCGUUUCUGACUGAGAGCAGUAAGGGAUGUCUGUCCAUCCAGAAUUCGGGAUGUCCACCCAGAAUUGGGGACAGACAACCGAGACCCACUCUGCUUGCAACAUCCAGACCAGUUACUUUAUUUUGUCAAACACAGGAGAAAGGAUUAAAAAAAAAUAGUACUCUAAGCAACUAGUUUGGCAGAAUAAGCCCCCCUCCCCUCUCAACAACAACAAUAACAACAACAAAACAAACCAAAACAAAAAACUUGAGGAUGGAUGGACAAGGUGUGGCUUUCUUUAAAUAAUUCAAUUUGGAAUAGAGCUCACACAACAGCACGCAGGCCUUCAAAACACCUUCCCUGGCUUCCCAGGAGCCAGUAUUCCCCACAGACUCCCAAGGAGCAUUCUGUCAUACACGGUAUACAGGCACACAAUGGGUCCGUCCUCAGAGGAGGCCCUGCAUGUUGCCUCCCGAAAUGGUUUCUUUGCUGCAGGCCUGUUCAGGAGAUGUUUAUCAGAGAAGGGGUGGACAGGUCUGCGAUGGACGGGCCCCGUUCUGUCUCCAGUGGCCUUUUAUGGCUAGUGAUAGGUGCCAUCAGUGUCUUGCCUGAGAAAUGGCCAUGCUGCAGGCACCUCUGUCGGAGCAUCUUAUUGAUCUGUGCUCUGCCUCCUUCCAGAAGACAAGAGUAGUAAAAAAGUCAGAGGCUGCUGGCUCGAGCAGAGCGGCCGUGGCACCGUGGGCUGAAGCAGCUCUCUGGGGUGAAUACAAGUGUCAUCAUCCCUCCAGCUGCUCCAUCCAGCAUUACAGAGCCUCGCUCCAGGACGCAGUGUAGCCUGGGCUGCACAGUGACCAUCCAGCAAGAUGAAUGUGGCUUCUGAAUUUUUUUUCCCAUUGAGGCUGUAUGGCUGAGAUUCAUUUUCCCACCAUUGACCCAUUGGACCUCCAUAAAAUAGGACUGAAAGCAAUUAAUCUGGGGCAGAACGCCCCUAGAAUCUCAUUCAUAAAUAAUCCUUCUUGGCCCCCAGCACUGGAAUAUAAGUAGAGAUUUAUAAGCUCAAACCUGUAGGCCAAACUGCAGGAAGCAGGGUGUACCCAGCCUCUGGCUUUGCACAUGAGAUUAAAUGGUUAUGAUCAAUAUAUUGCCAUAAGCACCAGGGGACAUUUUUAUGGCGUUUACAUAAGACUUUAUAAUGUGGAAGAGACAGGAUCUGCCACCAGCCCCAAUCCGGGCAUAAAAUGUAUCUUAUAAAUAAAAAUACAAAGGCACUUUGGCAAAAGUUCUCCUGUAUAGCUGCUACAGCUGCGGAGAAAGUAGAGAGGAGGAUAGGAUAGGCUGAAAUCAGACUCAGAAUGUGCAAGAGUAUUGCCAGGGGCGGGGGCAAUGGCAUUGAUGAGUUAUAGCUGUGUGGCUAAGGGCUCUGGUAAGAGUCUGGGUGCUGAACAUGACCCCCCUACCUUUGAGCUACACGACCUUGGGUUACUCAAGUUCCCUCUCAUCAGUUUAUUGAUGAAAAUAAUAGUACCUGCCUUCAUAUGGUUGGUUGUCUUCCCCCCCCUUUUGGUGAUGCAGGGGGUUCAUAUCUAGGAUUUCAUGCAUGCAAGCUAGCAUUUCACUACUGAGUGACAACCCUAGCCCCACAUAAGCUUCCCUGAAGAAUUCAAUGAACUAAAGUUUAUAAAAUGUAUAGCUCAUCCCUGCAGCAUAUAACAGUUAGGAAAGAGGAGAAGAUGCUGAUGGGGGUGAUGAUGUCAGGGAUGAUGAUGAUAGCAAUGGUGAUGAUGAUGGAGAUGGUGAUGAUGGCAAAGUAUAGCUAAAUAUCCUACUCAUUAGCCUCUUACCUCUGUCAGGUAAGAAGCAGGCUCAGCUAGUGUGGUAGUUUGAAUGUCAUUGGCCCCCAUAAGCUCAUAGGAACUGGCACUAUUAGGAGGUGUGGCUUUGUUGGAGUGGGUGUGGCCUUGUUGGAGGAAGUGUGUCACUGUAGGGGUGGGCUUUGAGGUCUCCUAUGCUCAAGCUAUACCCAGUGUCACAGUUCACUUCCUGUUGCAUGUGGAUCAAAAUGUAGACCUCCUCAUCUUCUUCUCCAGCACCAUGUCUGCCUGCAUGGUGCCACGUCCCACCACGAUGACAAUAGACAAAACCUCUGAAAUUGUAAGUCACCCAAAUUAAAUCUUUUCUUUUAUAAGAGUUGCUGUGGUCGUGGUGUCUCUUCACAGCAACAGAAACCCUAACUAAGAUGGCUAGUCACUCCCAGGCAUGACUGGUAACAAAGAGGCCCAGCCAGGCAAUCACAGCUGUCUCUGAGACAGUGGCUUGUCCUGCAGAGCUGGCCUUGGACCUCUGCCCUUGCUCUCUCUGGCUUUGUUGUGCUACCAUUGGCUGUGCGUCCUGAGACUACAAACUCAUUUUUGCUAUGAAGACUAGCAAGCUCUGGGUUGCUGUGCCAAACUUUGAUAUGCCAAGAAGGUUUUGCCAGUGCCAUCAUUCAAUAUUUCUGUUUGUUUGAUGUUGGUUUUGGAAGGUCCGAGUCUCCAUAUUGUUGUCUUCAUCCAACACUGCCAGUUUACAGUGAGUAUGGCAAGUUGGCAAUGCAGCCAGCAUCUAAGUGUAGAUGGUGUUAGUUAGAGAGCAGGAUUCUGGGUACCCUUUCGGGGAACAAAAACCCAUGUUUGACUCCAGCCAGUCAUCCCUUCCUGAGGCCAUGGGAGCCUGAAACCAUCUCAAUAGUUAACUUGUACUGAGUGUGAUUAGUGCCAAGCAUUCAGGGGAAUGCUUUACAAAUGUGACCACACUAAAGCUUGGCAACAGCCUGCAAAGAAAGCCCCGUAUCUGUCAGCAUUCUUGGCUGGAAGCAGCAGAAGCUGACUCACUGUCACAAGAAGAGGAGGUUUAUUGGAAGGGUGUUGGGGGCGUCUAGAUUUGUCAGAUGGAUCGAGGACAGGGCUCUGAAAGGACUGAGCACUCGAGGAGCCCCGAGAGCUAGCUAGGCUGUAGCUUCUCCUCCGGACCUGGUCUGAGGCCUGUGCUCAGAAGAUCUGCUCCUCUGCUGCCCUGACUAACUGGUAGGAAUCAAUUAGACUUCUAGCUCUCUCCAUGCUGCCUUCAAGCAAGAUAGGCUGAGUAUGCAUCAGGACCUGCCCUGGGGCCUGGGGAGAGGUACCUGAGCCAUCACAUCUGCUGUUUCCCUGGAGGUGGGGGAUGCCUCUAUCCAUCCUGUAAAGGUGUCAACAAGAGUUAAGAGAAUCUCUUGGGUGCUGGCCCCUGCCUGGACAGCUCAUCACCAGGUGUAGCCUCUUCAGGGAGACUUCCCUAGCUAAACUGCUGUCUUCUGGAUCUAGCUCCCCUGAGUGCAAAUGGGAAUUGUCUCCUUGCCACAUCAACUGGCAAGAACAGCCCCUGGAAUAUAGUAAAUCCUCAAGGCAAACAGAAGUGGAGCGAUCCUCCAGCAGAGGGAUCAGCAUACACUGGAAUGUGAGGAACAGGGUGUGUGCCUGAUGGAUUCCCUUGGAGUACCAUGCCACUUGCUGCCAUCUUGGCUGAUGACCUAGGCUCACCUUGGAAUACCAUGUGACUUGUGGACAUCUUGGAAGUCAUGUGAUUCAGCCAACAUCUUUAUUAAGGUUAAAAAAAGGGCAUGCCAUGUGACUUCACCAUCGUGGUUAAGGUGACCAGUGGUAUAAACCAAUCAGAGCAGCACCCAUAAAACAACUACAUUCACUGAGCUCUCUGCUUAUCAUGACUUUUAUCAGACUAAGGAGGCAACACCAGCUUCCAAGAUAAGGCAGGAAAGCCCCAGGCUCAAGUAGUCCCCUUGGAUGGAGCACACGUUCCCUUGAAUGGAGCACACGUUCCCUUGGAUGGAGCACACGUUCCCUUGGAUGGAGGACACGUUCCCUUGGAUGGAACACACGUUCCCUUGGAUGGAGCGCCAUCCCACCAGGGAGUACAGGACAGCCAUUGCUUGACCAAUCACAGCGGAUCAAGUUUGAGACUCCCCUCCUGCUGCAUGACCAGAGGCCCCCCUCUUCGAUGGACUGAGAACUACGCUGGCUGACAUGGACCCUCCUCAGCAGAAAGUAGCUCUAACACCCCUGCCCCACAUUUGUCUCUUUCAGAUAGGAAUGGUAGUUUCCUGCCGAAGGACUACACUUCCCAGCUUCCCUUGCAGACUUCAGAGGUCAUUCCUGCCUCUAUAAGGGGCCUCAACCCAUCUUCCUCUGUAGGCAUUUUAGCCACCUGCACAUGGGAGUGGCAAAGAUGUGAAUAAACGUGGUCCCGCCUAAGGCCAGAAGAGGACACCAGAUUUCAUUACGGAUGGUUGUGAGCCACCAUGUGGUUGCUGGGAAUUGAACUCAGGACCUUUGGAAGAGCAAGCAGUGCUCUUAACCUCUGAGCCAUCUCUCCAGCCCCCCCAAACUUAUUUUUAAGGAACUAAUAUACCAGCAUGAGGGAGUCAUGUUUGUACUUGUUGGUUUAAAAAAUGGGAAAACUACUUGUCAGAAGAAGUGAUGAUGAUGAAGGCUUUUCUUCCAGACCCACAUUUUUGGAAUGCCAGGACAUUGUAUCUCAGCAACAGGAGAAGAAAGGACGACACUGGGUGAUCUGACUGGUUAGCUGUAUGACAUGGCAACAACACUGAUGGGACCUGGAGCCUCGUGUGUGAUAGGCAGGAUCCUAAGUCACGAGCAGAGAAGGCAAAGGGACAAAGAGCUGACUCUUUCUUCUGCCUGUUUGGGGGUAGUGAUUCUGAUAAUCAGUAGAGACCAGAAUAUCUCUUCUGAGAUGGUGAGUAGAGCCCCUUAGCCCUGGCUGGAGCCGAGACUUCCUCUGUUCGUCUCUCUCAACAGGUCCUGACUCUGGGAUCCUGUUUAGAGCAACUCAGAGAGAAGGCCAAACCCUUUUCUGUCACACCAUCUCUGGUCAGGGUGCUGGUCUGGCCUUCCCUACUGCCAAGGAGAAAUACCUAGGACACGGGAAGACACUAAGGCCCAGACUUCAGCUUACCCGAGGCUACUGCUCCAGACCACCAUCAACUGUGCAUCAGGCCCUGAGUGUCCAGGGGGUUCGCUCUGAGGAUAGGUGCUCAGAUGGAGGCUCCCCUGAUUUGCUGGCCACUUGAAGCCUUGUUUGGUUCAGUUUGGUUGGUUAGGUUUUUGAUAAAAUGAUAAUGGGCACCUCACAGGUUGGGGUGGGUUUUUUCAUAGGAAAUUAGUAAAAGUUUAUGCAAACGCAAGCUAUACUGGAAUGACCUAUAAUUGGCCUUUUGUGCCAUUUUUCAUACUGAAAACAAAAUAGGCAGAGACCAUGAUACCCCAUUUCAGAAGGGAGCUUAAGUAUAUAAUUUUGAGUCCUAUGAAAUUGUCAAUAUUUGAUCAUUUCUCUACCUAUAAAAACAGCAGUUUCAUGCAAGUCAGCCCGGUGAAGCUCUGUCUGCUGAUCAUCCCUUUAGACUUAGAGCCUGUCCUAACUGUGAAUUGUUCUGUUGUCCUUCUCUGUCUAGUUCCACAGAACAGCAAGAAGACACACAACUGGAGCUUUCUUUCCCUCGUAUUAUUUUCUUCUCUGCACACCUGCAAUGUACUCAAUAUCCAACUCUGCACGGCGCUGUAGGGGCGAGUUCUGCUAACCAGAAAUCCCCUAUAGAAGAUCACAGAUUUGUUCAUUUUUGCGUUCAGCUUGUCAAUUGAUUUGAUAAUUGCCUGGGAGACAUACACAGGCAUACAGACACACAAAACAAUGUCGGUCCACAGGCUUUUUCCCUCGACAGUGGGAUGAAGAUGUUUUACUUACUGGAACUCAGAUGUCACCUGGAAGAAUAAGAGGAGGGUUUCGCCACGCUCAUCAGGACUGGACACUAUAUUCCUUCUGCCCCUCUGUUUGAGAGUUGGCCACAUGAACUGAACAAGCACUACGUGGGUUCUGCACACCAGAGAGUGGAUGGCCUUGUGUUGGCCUUCACUGGCCUUGUGUGGAAGUCAGCCCUGCUCGCACCUCUCAUGGCUGAAUCAGAACGAGAAACGGAAUGUCCGAGUAAAAAACAAAACAGAGUUAAAAUUCUGAAAUUAGAGGAAGCCAUUUCUGUGGUGAAAUCUCCAAGAAAGGAUCUGAUUUUGGACUAGACUAUCUUAGAAAUGGAGAGUCAGGGAUCAAGAUGUAGGACUCUCAGCCCCUUCUCCAGCACCAUGUCUGCCUGCACACUGCUAUGUCCUGCCAUGAUGAUAGUGGACUAAACCUCUGAAACUGUCCUCCUUGUGCCUAUGGACUGCCGGCCUUAGUCUGUGAAUGAUGCUGUCACCUCUGGCAACCAUUUUCGGUAUUGCUUGGAAAAGCUGGAGAUCCAUUGUCAAAGGCCGGCUUCCUGCAGGGUACCCUCACCUGGCAUCAUGAAGCAGCUGCUUCCUCGGAAGGUGACCACCGCAGUUCAUCCUUGUGUCUGUCCAGCGCAGUGCGCUCGCUGCAGCCACCUGCUCUGCCAUGGGAGCUGAUUGAGUUUUUGGACAUGCUGUUGAGUUCCAGUCCUUGACAACCCUGUCACAUCAGUAAUUUGAAAAGCAAAGGUAUCAGGGAACCCUGAACUCUCAGAGCUGAAAAGACAUUUAAAGAACCACCCCCAUCCUUGUCCAAAUCAAAGCCCAAGAGGACACGAGCCCAAGGUCAUGUACUUUUGAUGACACUGGUGACAAACUGCUCAUAGAGGGACGUCCCAUUGCAGCCAUUACAUCAAGUUGAAUCCAAAGCAACCUAAGAAAGCAUUCCUGUAUCCUGAAGAUGUUUCCAUAUCAAAUGCAUUGGAAGGCGAGAAAGACAGUGAUAUGGAAGUCUGUGUUCUCUCUCAGGCCUGUGUGCCUUUUAUCAACCUUACAAACUGGGUGCAAAUACUGACCCUCCCACCCUGAGCACCGUCUUGUUGAUUUGUGCUUUGCAGUAAGUCUAAAAUGUCAACAACGACCUUCAUCUCUUUGGUACAGGAGUCCGGGUGGGGAUGGCAUGGGAAGAAAUGCUCUCUUCUCUCCUCAGGCGCUGAGAAGGAGGAAGCUCCCGAGACUUGGUGAAAACAUGGACCGUUCUUUGCUCACACAGGGUCUCUCCUUUGACUUUGGAGUCUGGACCGUCAUGGUUCCACUUUGGCUUCUGGAUCAAGAAAAUGGUCAAUAUGCUGCCACGGUAAAGCUUCAGGUGCUGGGGACUUGGUGUAACCCCAGGCAGGAUGCUGACAUGUGCUGCCCCAUUAACAGCUCCGACAGAGUCGGGAUCUGCUCAGUCACUUCAGACAGUCACUGUCUAAUGUCUCAUUCUGUUCUUAAACAACCAUGUGAAUGGGGAAACUGUUACUGUCCACGGCUGACAGAUGAGGAACUGAGGCCCCAAGAAGCUAAGUGUUUUAUUCAGUGCCUCGCAACCGGACAGGCCAAAGCUGUGUGCGUUGUUCCCAGGGACAUCUCACUGCUAUAUUACUUCAAGUCAGGUAUUGAGGCAAAAUGCACCCACAUUCUGACAGGGCAUCCCAUUUCCUAACAAGUUAGAGCUAUGCUGCUCAAUAUAGUACUCGCCAGCCACAUGAGGCUACUUAAACAUAAAAUCAUUAAACUUACUGAAAUUAAAGAUCUAGAUCUUAGCCACACUGUAUACAUUCCAUACGCUCCAAAGCCCCACAGUACUAAAUCCCAAAGUAUAUUUUGAGCACUGAAGGUACAAAACACUAGAACUUUCCAUGGAAAUUGUACGAGAAAGCACUGUAGCAGAUGAAGAACUAGAGAGUCAAAGAGACUUAAAAAACACACAGCGAGACCCAGGGUUUGAAACGCACACUGCUUAGAUGUCACAUCUAAGUCCCUCCCUGGCUUCCUGUUCCUGCUUCCAGGACAACUAUUUAUUGUUUGCAACUAGACCCCACAUCUGCCCAUGGCAGGCAGCUUAUCUUUGGUUUCAUUUAUGCUCUGUGCUCUGAGGGUUGGCACGUGAGACGUGGCUAUCAGGACCUGCACACUCACUCGGCCUUGUAAGAGUCUUAAACAGAGACGCUGCGAAGAGUGUAGUCCUUGAACUGCAGGUAACAGCUGUAGACGCUUGGGCAGCUUGUGCAAACUUGGACCUGAGUGGGAUCACUUGUAAAGGGAUGUUUGACCUCAGAGGGUCUGGACGCACCUGCUCGAAGGUCCUAGCCAAACACUCCACAGCCACAACAAUGGUCACUACCUUACUCUAAAUGACUUACGUGUCACUGCACUGGAGUGAUGUUCCUCAAGGGUGUGCUUCAUGUCCACCUCCUGGUCGUUGCUGUAUCCUUCAGGCUAGCUCCCAUUGAUAGUGAGUUCUGGAAGAAAACAGUGUCCGGUUUAGUCUCAGAGAAAGUUUUUCUAUAAGCUUUAUGGUUUAUGAAUCUGUCCCCCUUCUUUGAGUGAUUUUUUUUAAAUGUGGGAUCUCACUAUGUAUGUGUUGGUUAAACGGCGCACAUGCCGGCGGAGGAGAGUGCUGGUCGGAAGAAUCCCAGCCAUGGUUACCUUUUUAGAGCUUUAUUGGGAGAGAGGGGGGAGAGAGGGGAGAGAGAGAGGGAGAGAGAGGACAGACGGAAGGAAGGAGCAGAAAGGAAAGAGAGGGAUGCACAGAGGGCCCACCCGCUUUUUAGGCUGGGCUGAUGACAUAAUUAAGGACCGAAUCCUUACAGUAUGUAGUCCUGAUUGACGUGGAACUCACUGUGUAGAUCAGGGUGAUCUUGAACUCACAGAGGUCUACCUGCUUCUGCUGCCCGAGUACCAGUAUUAAAAGUGUGUACCACAUGAAUGCCUAGGGGGAAAAUCCAUUAUAAGACCUUUGUGGAUACCUGACACUGUGAGGGAAUGCAGCUCCAAAUAGUCUGCAUAUUCCCAUGAAGAAGUUUGAUCUAUAGGUUAAACAUGGUGAAGAGUAACUAAUAAGACAGGACAGCUGUAACAAUGCAUGAUAAUCCAAGCUAUGUGAAUGUGCUCUCCACCCACCCCACCCCCUUACUGUACUGCAGACAUCCUUCUUCUGCCCAAUAGGACGCCCACAUGAUGAAGUGACACAGACUUAUGCUCCAUGUAAGGGCCACUUGAACACAAGUGCUGCGAUGUCCUCAUAGUGGACUCAAUGAGCCAGCUGACCGUGUGACUAGCCAGCAGGUAGUAGAUACAGCAAGGAUGGCUGGUCGGAGGAUGAUUCGUGACCAGCAGGCAGGAGCAAGAUUUCCUCAUACUACUCACAAAGGCAUGCAACUUAAAACGUGUGAGAUUUUUCUUUCUAGAAUUUUCCAUCUGAAAUUUGAUCAUGGGUAGCUGGAACCAUGGUAGCAAAAGUGACACACAGAGGAGCGUAGUCUAGUUCAGUUUCCCAUCAGAAGCACACGUCUCUAGGAGCAAGUGUCUCUGUCGUGCCGGUCUGGAUGCUGCUUGUACAUCCAGCAAAGGGGAAUUUGCUACCUAAGGACAGUGCUUUGCAGCUUGGACCUCCUUGCCACAGACAGAAAGGGUCCUGAGCUUCAGGCCAUCCUUCCAUGCCACUCAGCAUCUGAAUCUCUCGGCCUUUGCAGAAACAGGGCAGUGCAAAGUGUGUCUCCAGCUAGCUUUGGGAAGUUUCAUGACUAUCACUGGGGGUAGGGAGAGGUGGAAAAUGAGCCGAGAGAAUCUGGCUAUUAAACACAUUACCUGUAUUUAUGGUUCUCGUGCCCCAAGGCCUGGGAUAAAUCGGAGAAGGAAAAACAUUCCGCUCCGGCUCUCAGUGACCCCUGAAGGAAACCCCCCAUGGAGUCAUUUAGGAUAGUAAUUUGAGCAUAGACUCCAGCAUGCGUUCCCAGCCUUCCCUCCAUAAACUCAGGAGCCUCAUGAUAAUCGGCACCAAAGUGCUUGAAAAUGUGGCCCAGAACCCUUCCAGAUGAGGGUCGGGCUCAAAGAAAUAAAAAGUUAAGGGCGCGUUGCUAUGGCAUUAACAUUGAGGGAGUGUGCAAGGACUUCAAACUGUGCGCUGAAAGUAUGUUCUUUCUGUGUGCCCGGCCCAUGAAACGCUAAGCCAGCAAAACCAUUAAAACGUCAGACGGGGAGCCAGGUGGAAGAAAUGCAUGUUUAAUAGUAAACAUGUAGCCCACGGUAAUUGUGUCCGUUGAGAAGUUAAAGAUGGGGGAGACAGAGGAGUUGAGAAGAAAGCAAGCUGGGGAAGUGGGGCCGUUGGGCUCCUUCUGCCCUGCGCUGAGCAGGCGGCCCUCCUUACUCAGCAAAGCUCUCAAAACCAUCCCCGGUUCCUUCCCUUUCAUUAGCGCUCUGCCGCAAGUUAACCGGCAGGCCUCGAGUCCCAACUUACUUCUAGAAUAUUAGGUUGAGUUCUACAAAGUGGCCGACAUUACAUCUUCUUUGGUCUAUGGAAAGUGUCAACUCUAUGGCUCAACCUAAUUAAAUCUCAAACAAGCUUGUCUGC